RNAcentral lists this ribosomal RNA (434 nucleotides) under uncultured Lachnospiraceae bacterium. RNAcentral's name for it is "partial 16S ribosomal RNA". It matches the Rfam family "Bacterial small subunit ribosomal RNA", at positions 341 to 792 of the family's 1533-position model. The record is from RNAcentral. Lineage: Bacteria; Bacillati; Bacillota; Clostridia; Lachnospirales; Lachnospiraceae.
ACGGGAGGCAGCAGUGGGGAAUAUUGCACAAUGGGGGAAACCCUGAUGCAGCGACGCCGCGUGAGUGAAGAAGUAUUUCGGUAUGUAAAGCUCUAUCAGCAGGGAAGAAAAUGACGGUACCUGACUAAGAAGCCCCGGCUAACUACGUGCCAGCAGCCGCGGUAAUACGUAGGGGGCAAGCGUUAUCCGGAUUUACUGGGUGUAAAGGGAGCGCAGACGGCAAGGCAAGUCUGAUGUGAAAGGUGGGGGCUCAACCCCCAAACUGCAUUGGAAACUGUCUGGCUAGAGUGCCGGAGAGGUAAGCGGAAUUCCUAGUGUAGCGGUGAAAUGCGUAGAUAUUAGGAGGAACACCAGUGGCGAAGGCGGCUUACUGGACUGUAACUGACGUUGAGGCUCGAAAGCGUGGGGAGCAAACAGGAUUAGAUACCCUGGUA